RNAcentral lists this ribosomal RNA (371 nucleotides) under uncultured bacterium. Its description in RNAcentral is "bacterial SSU rRNA". It matches the Rfam family "Bacterial small subunit ribosomal RNA", at positions 527 to 896 of the family's 1533-position model. The record is from RNAcentral.
GAAGGGUGCAAGCGUUACUCGGAAUUACUGGGCGUAAAGCGUGCGUAGGUGGUUUGUUAAGUCUGAUGUGAAAGCCCUGGGCUCAACCUGGGAAUGGCAUUGGAAACUGGCUGACUAGAGUGCGGUAGAGGGUAGUGGAAUUCCCGGUGUAGCAGUGAAAUGCGUAGAUAUCGGGAGGAACAUCUGUGGCGAAGGCGACUACCUGGACCAGCACUGACACUGAGGCACGAAAGCGUGGGGAGCAAACAGGAUUAGAUACCCUGGUAGUCCACGCCCUAAACGAUGCGAACUGGAUGUUGGGAGCAACUUGGCUCUCAGUAUCGAAGCUAACGCGUUAAGUUCGCCGCCUGGGAAGUACGGUCGCAAGACUG